Molecule: ribosomal RNA, 647 nt
Filed under: uncultured bacterium
Lineage: Bacteria
Description: bacterial SSU rRNA
Rfam family: Bacterial small subunit ribosomal RNA
Source: RNAcentral
GUAAUACAUCGGAACGUACCCAGUAGCGGGGGAUAGCCCGGCGAAAGCCGGAUUAAUACCGCAUACGCCCUACGGGGGAAAGGGGGGGAUCGCAAGACCUCUCACUAUUGGAGCGGCCGAUGGCUGAUUAGCUAGUUGGUGGGGUAAAGGCCUACCAAGGCAACGAUCAGUAGCUGGUCUGAGAGGACGACCAGCCACACUGGGACUGAGACACGGCCCAGACUCCUACGGGAGGCAGCAGUGGGGAAUUUUGGACAAUGGGCGAAAGCCUGAUCCAGCAAUGCCGCGUGUGCGAAGAAGGCCUUCGGGUUGUAAAGCACUUUUGUCAGGGAAGAAAUCGUUCGGGCUAAUACCUCGUGCAGUUGACGGUACCUGAAGAAUAAGCACCGGCUAACUACGUGCCAGCAGCCGCGGUAAUACGUAGGGUGCAAGCGUUAAUCGGAAUUACUGGGCGUAAAGCGUGCGCAGGUGGUUCGUUAAGACAGUUGUGAAAUCCCCGGGCUUAACCUGGGAACUGCAAUUGUGACUGGCGGACUAGAGUUUGGCAGAGGGGGGUGGAAUUCCUGGUGUAGCAGUGAAAUGCGUAGAUAUCAGGAGGAACACCGAUGGCGAAGGCAGCCCCCUGGGCCAUGACUGACACUCAUGCA